RNAcentral lists this ribosomal RNA (433 nucleotides) under uncultured bacterium. RNAcentral describes it as "partial 16S ribosomal RNA". It matches the Rfam family "Bacterial small subunit ribosomal RNA", at positions 29 to 507 of the family's 1533-position model. The record is from RNAcentral.
AACGAACGCUGGCGGCAUGCCUAACACAUGCCAGUCGAACGAGACCUUCGGGUCUAGUGGCGCACGGGUGCGUAACGCGUGGGAACCUGCCCUUAGGUUCGGAAUAACUCCCCGAAAGGGGUGCUAAUACCGGAUAAUGUCUUCGGACCAAAGAUUUAUCGCCUUUGGAUGGGCCCGCGUUGGAUUAGCUAGUUGGUAGGGUAAAAGCCUACCAAGGCGACGAUCCAUAGCUGGUCUGAGAGGAUGAUCAGCCACACUGGGACUGAGACACGGCCCAGACUCCUACGGGAGGCAGCAGUGGGGAAUAUUGGACAAUGGGCGAAAGCCUGAUCCAGCAAUGCCGCGUGAGUGAUGAAGGCCUUAGGGUUGUAAAGCUCUUUUACCCGGGAUGAUAAUGACAGUACCGGGAUAAUAAGCUCCGGCUAACUCCGUG